GGCGGGGUCCGUGGCGCGCGCCUGUAAUCCAAGCUACUGGGAGGCUGAAGCUGCGAAUCGCUUGAGCUCUGGGCUUCUGGGCUGCAGUGGACUAUGUUGAUCGGGUGUCCGCAGUAAGUUCGGUAUCGAUAUGGUGCUCCUGGGGGAGCUCGGGACCACCAGGUAGUUUAAGGAGGGGUGAACCGGCCCAGGCCGGAGACGGAGCAGGUCAAAUCCCCCGUGCCGAUCAGUAGUGGGAUCGCACCUGAGAAUAGACACUGUAGUGCAGCCUGAGAGACGCAGACUAUUACAUUUUUUU
Unclassified non-coding RNA from Danio rerio (zebrafish), 298 nucleotides. It matches the Rfam family "Metazoan signal recognition particle RNA". Rfam says of the family: The signal recognition particle (SRP) is a universally conserved ribonucleoprotein. It is involved in the co-translational targeting of proteins to membranes. NCBI's taxonomy places the organism in Eukaryota, Metazoa, Chordata, Actinopteri, Cypriniformes, Danionidae. The record is from Ensembl.